This 367-nucleotide long non-coding RNA is filed under the name Zonotrichia albicollis (white-throated sparrow). RNAcentral describes it as "lncRNA (ENSZALG00000006629.1)". The record is from RNAcentral. Lineage: Eukaryota; Metazoa; Chordata; Aves; Passeriformes; Passerellidae.
CUCCUGCAAUGCAAUCAGCUAGCUUCUGGCAUUACACAGAAAAGAGAUUAAUCCUCAUGCUGCAAAAAUAAAUGAGACAGCACAGCUUUCCUCGGAUCUUGAUAAAUCCACAGGCACCUUUGUUUCUUACUUUUCCAGAAGAGAGUUGGGAGUAUCAGCCUGCAGCAGGUAGAAGGUUUGACUCCCUCUACCAUGAAGAGUAAUCUGGAUUAUCCUCUUUUCAGGCAAAAAUGAAUGGUAAGUAAAAUUAUUUGUAUCAUCACUCUUCCAGACCUCAACUGAGAUACCUUGGUGCUGCUUUCCUUGAGGUGCUGGAGUUACACACAGCAUUAGGAUUUCUGAUGAACAGCUGUUUCUAACAUUUUAA